RNAcentral lists this non-coding RNA (31 nucleotides) under Mus musculus (house mouse). Lineage: Eukaryota; Metazoa; Chordata; Mammalia; Rodentia; Muridae. The record is from RNAcentral.
UGGGUUUGGCAAUUAUUCUGGAAUCUUGGGU